GAUGAACGCUGGCGGCGUGCCUAAUACAUGCAAGUCGAGCGAACAGACGAGGAGCUUGCUUCUCUUACGUUCGCGUCGGACAGGUGAGUAAAAUGUGGAUAACCUACCUAUAAGACUGGGAUAACUUCGGGAAAACGGAGCCAAUACCGGCUAACAUCUUGAACCGCAUGGUUCAAUACUGAAAGACCGUUUUGCUUUCAAUUAUCGAUUGAUCCGUGCCCCAUUAGCUAGUUGGUAAGGUAACGGCUUACCAAGGCAACGAUGAGUAGCCGACCUGAGAGGGUGAUCGGCCACACUGGAACUGAGACACGGCCCAGACUCCUACGGGAGGCAGCAGUGGGGAAUCUUCGGCAAUGGGCGAAAGCCUGACGGAGCAACGCCGCGUGAGUGAUGAAGGUCUUCGGAUCGUAAAGCUCUGUUAUUAGGGAAGAACAGAUGUGUGAGUAACUAUGCAGGUCUUGACGGUACCUAAACAGAAAGCCCCGGCUAACUACGUG
This 497-nucleotide ribosomal RNA is filed under the name uncultured bacterium. Its description in RNAcentral is "partial 16S ribosomal RNA". It matches the Rfam family "Bacterial small subunit ribosomal RNA", at positions 28 to 507 of the family's 1533-position model. The record is from RNAcentral.